This is a long non-coding RNA of Scatophagus argus, 1294 nucleotides long. RefSeq lists it as uncharacterized. The transcript has 4 exons. NCBI's taxonomy places the organism in Eukaryota, Metazoa, Chordata, Actinopteri, Scatophagidae. The record is from RefSeq and is a predicted model, not a curated record.
UGGUUGGAUGAAUUUGGUGUGGAAAAACUUGAUUGGCCUGCACAGAGCCCUGACCUCAACCCCAUCCAACACCUUUGGGAUGAACUGGAACAGAUAUUGUGAGCUAGACCUUCUUGGUCCAACAUCAGUGUCUGACCUCACAAAUGCUAAACUGCAUCAAUGGGCAAAAAUUCCCAAAUAAACGCUCUAAAAUCUUGUGGAAAGCCUUCCCAGAAGAAUGAAAGCCGUUAAAGCUGCAAUUUAGAAUGCAAUGUCAUUAAAGCCCAUGUUGGUGCAGUGGUAAGAUGUCCCAAUAUUUUUGUCCAUAUUGUGUAUCAUCAUUGCAUGUUUAACUAUUAAAGUGCAUGUAUAAAAAUGCAUCAUAGCAAUAAUGUAUUUGUUAAUUGUUUUGUAUUAGUAAUCUGAAGUUGAAAAGUCAAAAUAAGUGGAAAAAAUGGUACUUAAGUGCAGUACUUGAGUAAGUGUUUAUUUCUGGUUAAAUACAAAAUCUGGAUGAUAGCUGAAGUAAAUGCCAACUCCUGUUUAAUUUCAUACUUGAGGUACUCCAUGUUCUCCCCAGCGACCUGUUUUCCACCCCGAUGGCCUCCACAGUUCAUUCCCUGGUCACGAUAAAUAUCUGCUGAUGAGUCUGUGCUAAAAAUCCGUCACGCCUACACAAAGACUGGUGGUCAGACAAAUCUGGAGUCUCAGUGACCAGACAGAUAGCAUCUUUCACAGCCUGACAAUCAGCGCAUUUUGUGGGAUAAGACGACUUAAGGAAGUGGAUCCUGUGAGUUCCCUGCUGGAUCGGUUCCCGGGAGUCUCGCCUACAUGCGGGCCUGCGCGUUCAGCCACAUGGUCUUUUGGUUGCUUUGUACCAUCCACAACCUGGCUGGAGUCAGUCCAGAGAUGCUGUGUGUGUGCUCUCUGCUCUUUUUGGCCGAACGCAGUGACAGACCAGGAACCAGGACCAGCUCCAGACAAGGAGAGAGCGAAGCUGUGGUCUCCCCCGGCGGUUAUCUUUGCCAAAGGAAUUCCUGCCAAAGACUUGAGGGGAUGAGGGAACAGCUUGCUUGGCUCUCCUUUCCCGAGACCGAGCUGACCGCUGGUGUUCUGGCCCCACGUGAACAGCUGGCCAUCUGAAAGGAAGAGAACAGAGAGACAAAAGCAGUUAACGCACAACAUGUUGGUGAGGGCGGAGGAGACGACCACCAAUCUGAAGUGGCAGCGAGAGGGUGACGGCCCAGGAAGCCAAAGAUGUUCAGGCUUGAGGGCAGCCCCGCUUUCUCCUCUUCAAGGAACUUCCAACCCUGGA